Ruditapes philippinarum (Manila clam) is the source of this 2670-nucleotide long non-coding RNA. RefSeq lists it as uncharacterized. Lineage: Eukaryota; Metazoa; Mollusca; Bivalvia; Venerida; Veneridae. The transcript has 2 exons. The record is from RefSeq and is a predicted model, not a curated record.
UUUAUUAUUUGGAAUUUAAGUAUAGUUGUUGAUUUUUUAACAAUGUUUGCUAAACAGACGUUUAGAAUGAUAAAUUAAAUUUGCUAAAUGUUUGAUAAAAAGUGUUUGCUUUGUAUCUGUAAAACAGUGCAUUUAGUUAUGAAACAAAAUCCAGGGCACUUAGCUAUAAUAAGUGUCAAUUGAAACGUUAUUUCGAAAUAUAGAAAUUACACGAUAAAUGUCAUUAUUUGAUAAUCUGUGGGAGGUUGUUUUCUAAGCGUUUUUAAUUAUUCGUUUUAUGCGUGAAAUAUUUCACACUUGGUAAACAUAAAGAAGUAAAUAAUUGCUAAAGAUUGGAAUUUACAAGUGCUCACUUUGAAAAGUCUUCUUAUUUCACCAGAUUCAAACAAUGAUGAUGAGGUUCAAUUUGCUGCAAAUUGCUUUUUGGAGAGUUACCUAGAUUACUGUAAGCAACAAGUGACUGAAAAGUAUGCAUUGCAAAUGGCAAUAACAAUUGUAUGCAAGUCAGAUCAUUGUCAUGACCUUGUAUAUGAAGUCUUCAUGAAAUAUAUGCAAGACGUAAAAUACCGAGGUGUUUAUUGAUAUACACAAUCACCAAAUAUCACGAUAGGGUGAUUUUGCUGCAACAGGAGUGUUUGGAAUUACAUCAUAAAACAAUUGAAGAAUAUUAGAUAUAUAUAUGCUUGAAAAAAGUCAUGUGCAUUAUGUAAAACAGCAAAACAAAACAAUGUAUGUAGCUAAAGUGUGUGCCUUUUUUAAAUAUCAACAGCUGUAAAAUUAUUCAUUUUAAAUUGAAUAUACGUACUGUACUUCUUUGCAUUUAAUAUAAUACUCGACGCUUCUUGCAUCCAUUCCUUUUUGACUUUCUAUAAAGUGUUUCACAUUUUAAAAUGAAUUAACUGUCAAUUGAUCAUAUUAACUUUUUAGGCAAGCGCAAGUCAUUGUGGAUACGCAUAAAUUGUAUGAAAUGUGUCAAAAUAUGCAAAGUAGUUGCUAGUUAGAAAAAAAGUUUGAAGUUGGGUAAAACACUAAAGCAAAGCCAGUCAUAGUUUGCAUGAAGCAUGCGAAUCAUAAAAGAAAAUACAUUAUUUUGUAAUAACUGUUGAUAGUUUUCUUUAACUCCAAAUACAUUUAAUUGAACUUUUAAAUUGUGAACUUAGUCAUUCAGUAUUCUCUAAAAGUCAACAUUUUGUGCAUAUGUUACUUUAUACAGUAAAUUAAUAAAACGGAUUAUUCGAAUAAAUAAAUAUAUUUUUGGCGAUUUCACCUAAAUUGUCUUUACAAUAUAUUUACUAAUAGGCACAUGUAUUUGCUUCAUUGUUUACUAUAUCUAUAUAUACAUCUAUUGAUAAUGUACUCGUCUUAGUGUAUCAAUAUAAUAGAAAGUAGUUUUUAUUAAAAUGAGUAAAGGUAGGUGUUGAACCUUCGCAUGUCUUAAUUAUUUUUUUUAAAGACUAAGUGAUUUUACAUUGUAAUUACUAAAUGUUUUGGACCAAGUGUAUGGUACAAAGUGAUGCUAUUAUCUAGUACCAAAAUUUGCCAAUUGUUUGUACCAAGUAUUUGUUGUACCAAAAUUUAUUAAAAGAUUAAUAUCAAUUUGUAAAACUGGCUUCGUAUAUUAAACGUACAAAUUCAAAGGUGUUGUGUAGGUUUGAUUCUGUAUUGACAUUCUAAAUUCAGGGUAUAGAAAAUUCAGUAGUAACUAUAAACAAAAUAACAUACGUUAGAAGUGACGUUGACGUUAGAUAGCGCGGUAAGACGUAACAUAUCUUAUACCAUAAAUAUAUAAUUAUGUAGUAAGGUAUCUUGCGAACACAAGUAUUAGAGAAUUAUGAGUACUUUUUUGAAGUAUUAUGAAUGGUACAGUUUUCAUUAUUAAUUCCUCAAUCGAUAUUAUUGCAAAUGGUUACCUAAAAUCCCUUGUAGUGCAAUGUUAUCUUUUUAAUUAACGGAUUUUUCAACAAGGUCACAUUAAUUUUUGAUUCAGCACUGUUGCAUUGUACAAAUUUCAUUCAAUUCUUUAAAUGCAUAGUAUUUAGCUACUUAUUUCAUCAGUUUAUCUACAUGCUGGCAUUUGUGUGGUUUAUGACACUGAACUCAUAUACAUUUCUAUUAUUUUUACGUGUGUUUGUUUCUUUUUAUUAUCCAACUGAUUAAAGUAGAAUUACUUUUUUGUUUAUAUGUGAGUAAUGUAUGACAUAAACAUGCAAAGUUAAGUUGUUUACUUGAUCUUGGAUACAUAUUCGUAUGAUUCUUAGUUGAUUUUAUAUAAAGUUUGACACAAUAUUUCCCAAUUUGUUAACGCUUUAAGUGUGGUUCGAUCAUACUUUCCUGUUUUCAGCAAACAGUCUUAUCUUUUUCUGGCUCUUAUCUUUUUCUGGCCUAUAUAGACAUUUUGCUGUUGUUUCAUUUUCAAACUUGCAGGCUUUCUAUUACUAUUAUUUGAAAUUUGAAUUCAUUUUAAACGUUAAUCAAAACAAGGAAAAAAAUGUUUAUAAACAGAGACAAAAUUUUCUAAUUGUUCACAUAUCUAAAACUGUUUUGCGUUACUUAUGUCUUUGAAGGUUCGAUAAAUAGAGAAAGAUUUUGAUAAUUUGACUCAACAAUAUUUCCAUAAGGAAACAUGUGGGUCAAUGGUUGGUUUAGGGGCCAUGGAUGCCCCCCCCCACC